RNAcentral lists this ribosomal RNA (440 nucleotides) under uncultured bacterium. RNAcentral's name for it is "partial 16S ribosomal RNA". It matches the Rfam family "Bacterial small subunit ribosomal RNA", at positions 338 to 795 of the family's 1533-position model. The record is from RNAcentral.
CCUACGGGCGGCAGCAGUAGGGAAUAUUGCUCAAUGGGGGAAACCCUGAAGCAGCAACGCCGCGUGGAGGAUGAAGGUUUUAGGAUUGUAAACUCCUUUUGUUAGAGAAGUUUAUGACGGUAUCUAACGAAUAAGCACCGGCUAACUCCGUGCAAGCAGCCGCGGUAAUACGGAGGGUGCAAGCGUUACUCGGAAUCACUGGGCGUAAAGAGUGCGUAGGCGGGGUAAUAAGUCAGAUGUGAAAUCCUGUAGCUUAACUACAGAACUGCAUUUGAAACUGUUACUCUGGAGUGUGGGAGAGGUAGGUGGAAUUCUUGGUGUAGGGGUAAAAUGCGUAGAGAUCAAGAGGAAUACUCAUUGCGAAGGCGACCUGCUGGAACAUUACUGACGCUGAUGCACGAAAGCGUGGGGAGCAAACAGGAUUAGAUACCCUUGUAGUC